This 220-nucleotide unclassified non-coding RNA is filed under the name Hevea brasiliensis (rubber tree). Lineage: Eukaryota; Viridiplantae; Streptophyta; Magnoliopsida; Malpighiales; Euphorbiaceae. The record is from RNAcentral.
AUUAUUACACAUGAUUGAUUGAUUCUAUCCAUCCAUCUAUUUUGUGUCAUUAUUGCACAAACAAAUCAUCACCAAAGAGGUAUAGAAUUCUCUCAACAGCCCAACUAGGCUCAGGCUUGACCCAAGCCAAGCUCUGUGAACUGGUCAAAAGAGGGGCCCUACAUAGUGGACAAGUUUUGUGAUUAUCAUCAUGAUCAUCAUCGCGAUCAUGAUCAACCCA